GGCGAACGCUGGCGGCGUGCUUAACACAUGCAAGUCGAACGGAAAGGCCCUGCUUUUGUGGGGUGCUCGAGUGGCGAACGGGUGAGUAACACGUGAGUAACCUGCCCUUGACUUUGGGAUAACUUCAGGAAACUGGGGCUAAUACCGGAUAGGAGCUCCUGCUGCAUGGUGGGGGUUGGAAAGUUUCGGCGGUUGGGGAUGGACUCGCGGCUUAUCAGCUUGUUGGUGGGGUAGUGGCUUACCAAGGCUUUGACGGGUAGCCGGCCUGAGAGGGUGACCGGCCACAUUGGGACUGAGAUACGGCCCAGACUCCUACGGGAGGCAGCAGUGGGGAAUAUUGCACAAUGGGCGGAAGCCUGAUGCAGCAACGCCGCGUGCGGGAUGACGGCCUUCGGGUUGUAAACCGCUUUCGCCUGUGACGAAGCGUGAGUGACGGUAAUGGGUAAAGAAGCACCGGCUAAUUACGUG
This 468-nucleotide ribosomal RNA is filed under the name uncultured bacterium. RNAcentral describes it as "partial 16S ribosomal RNA". It matches the Rfam family "Bacterial small subunit ribosomal RNA", at positions 28 to 507 of the family's 1533-position model. The record is from RNAcentral.